Molecule: non-coding RNA, 84 nt
Organism: Amylostereum chailletii
Lineage: Eukaryota; Fungi; Basidiomycota; Agaricomycetes; Russulales; Stereaceae
Source: the annotation of a GenBank genome assembly
GGCCUGGUGGUCUAGUAGUAUGAUUCCUUCUCAGGGAUUCAUCGACAUUGGAGGAGGUCCCGGGUUCAAUUCCCGGUCGGGCCC